UGGGGAAUAUUGCACAAUGGAGGGAACUCUGAUGCAGCGACGCCGCGUGAACGAAGAAGGCUUUCGAGUCGUAAAGUUCUUUUAUAUGGGAAGAUAAUGACGGUACCAUAAGAAAAAGCCCCGGCUAACUACGUGCCAGCAGCCGCGGUAAUACGUAGGGGGCUAGCGUUGUCCGGAAUCACUGGGCGUAAAGGGUUCGCAGGCGGAAAUGCAAGUCAGGUGUAAAAGGCAGUAGCUUAACUACUGUAAGCAUUUGAAACUGCAUAUCUUGAGAAAAGUAGAGGUAAGUGGAAUUUUUAGUGUAGCGGUGAAAUGAGUAGAUAUUAAAAAGAAUACCGGUGGCGAAGGCAGCUUACUGGGCUCAUUCUGACGCUGAGGAACGAAAGCGUGAGUAGCAAACAGG
Molecule: ribosomal RNA, 403 nt
Filed under: bacterium
Lineage: Bacteria
Description: partial 16S ribosomal RNA
Rfam family: Bacterial small subunit ribosomal RNA
Source: RNAcentral